This 191-nucleotide non-coding RNA is filed under the name Moraxella sp. Its description in RNAcentral is "6S RNA". It matches the Rfam family "6S / SsrS RNA". From Rfam's summary of the family: E. coli 6S RNA was the first non coding RNA to be sequenced, but its function was unknown until recently. It consists of 184 nucleotides that fold into an extended hairpin structure with a large single-stranded internal bulge. Lineage: Bacteria; Pseudomonadati; Pseudomonadota; Gammaproteobacteria; Moraxellales; Moraxellaceae. The record is from RNAcentral. RNAcentral also lists the same sequence under 1 other name.
AAACCACUGAAGUGUUUGCCAGCAAAGCGUAAUCCUUGACCGAUAAUCUUAAUUUAAGGGAGAUAUUUGCAAUAUUUUGUUGCGCAGGUCUGCACCCUAGGUGUUUCAGAAAGCCAUGAUAAAUAUUGGUAUUUCCCGCCUUGAACUUCACGGUUCAUGGUAUCCCUUUGUAGCGGCACUUUGGUAUUUUU